Molecule: ribosomal RNA, 301 nt
Filed under: uncultured bacterium
Lineage: Bacteria
Description: partial 16S ribosomal RNA
Rfam family: Bacterial small subunit ribosomal RNA
Source: RNAcentral
CAGCCGCCGCGGUAAUACGAACCGUGCGAACGUUAUUCGGAAUCACUGGGCUUAAAGCGCGUGUAGGCGGGCCGCCACGUCGGCUGCUGAAAUCCCCCGGCUCAACCGGGGAACGGGCACCGAUACGAGCGGCCUGGAGGGGGGUAGGGGGGACUGGAACUUCCGGUGGAGCGGUGAAAUGCGUUGAGAUCGGAAGGAACGCCCGUGGUGAAAGCGAGUCCCUGGACCCUUUCUGACGCUGAGACGCGAAAGCCAGGGGAGCGAACGGGAUCAGAUACCCGAGUAGUCCCUGUCUCUUAUA